GAUGAAGAACGCAGUGAAAUGCGAUAAGUAAUGUGAAUUGCAGAAUUCAGUGAAUCAUCGAAUCUUUGAACGCACAUUGCGCCCACUGGUAUUCCGGUGGGCAUGCCUGUUCGAGCGUCAUUAUCCUCCCUCAAACCCCGGGUUUGGUGUUGGACCCAAGUUGUGUGAACAACUGGUCUCAAAGACAAUGACGGCGUCCGUGGGACCCUCGGUGCAACGAGCUUUUAGGAGCACGCAUCGAGUUGCAAGGACCUUCCGGGCCGGUCUCCUUUACCAUUUUACAAGGUUGACCUCGGAUCAGGUAGGAAUACCCGCUGAACUUAAGCAUAUCAAUAAGCGGAGGA
Molecule: unclassified non-coding RNA, 344 nt
Filed under: soil metagenome
Description: partial contains 5.8S ribosomal RNA, internal transcribed spacer 2, and large subunit ribosomal RNA
Rfam family: 5.8S ribosomal RNA (bases 1-120)
Source: RNAcentral